This 314-nucleotide ribosomal RNA is filed under the name uncultured bacterium. Its description in RNAcentral is "bacterial SSU rRNA". It matches the Rfam family "Bacterial small subunit ribosomal RNA", at positions 29 to 334 of the family's 1533-position model. The record is from RNAcentral.
AACGAACGCUGGCGGCAUGCCUAAUACAUGCAAGUCGAACGGGGAAAGGCCUUCGGGCCCGGUACUAGUGGCGCACGGGUGAGUAACGCGUGGAUAAUCUACCCUUUGGUGGGGGACAACAUCGGGAAACCGGUGCUAAUACCGCAUAAGACCACGAAGCCUUCGGGUUUUGAGGUUAAAGGUGGCUCCGGCCAUCGCCAAAGGAUGAGUCCGCGUCCCAUUAGCUUGUUGGUGGGGUAAAAGCCUACCAAGGCUACGAUGGGUAGCUGGUCUGAGAGGAUGAUCAGCCACACUGGAACUGAGACACGGUCCAG